RNAcentral lists this unclassified non-coding RNA (212 nucleotides) under Hevea brasiliensis (rubber tree). The record is from RNAcentral. Lineage: Eukaryota; Viridiplantae; Streptophyta; Magnoliopsida; Malpighiales; Euphorbiaceae.
GGAACAAAUGAGUGUGGCAUUGAACAUAGUGUGGUUGCAGGAUUGCCUUCAGCAAGAAAUUUGAAUGUGGAACUUGGUGAUGCUGUCCUUGAUGCCUCAAUGUAAAUUGAUAUAUCUUCAACAAGAACAUUACAUAAUAAUACUAGCAAAUUAAUAUGAUACUUGGGAUGAAAAGACCUUAUGAAUUUUCAUAUUUAUCUUGUCCAUUUAAU